GGGCCCGUCGUCUAGCUGGACUAGGACACAGGCCUUCGGAGCCUGGGAUCCGGGGUUCGAAUCCCCGCGGGCCCGCCA
This 78-nucleotide transfer RNA is filed under the name Candidatus Bathyarchaeota archaeon. RNAcentral describes it as "tRNA-Arg". It matches the Rfam family "tRNA". From Rfam's summary of the family: Transfer RNA (tRNA) molecules are approximately 80 nucleotides in length. Their secondary structure includes four short double-helical elements and three loops (D, anti-codon, and T loops). RNAcentral also lists the same sequence under 1 other name. The record is from RNAcentral. Lineage: Archaea; Thermoproteati; Candidatus Bathyarchaeota.